AGAAAGGAUUCCACUCAAACCUCCGCUGCCACACGCCACCGCAUCCCCAGACCCUACAACAAAGUGGCUUCCAAGAGGAAGUGCGACUUGGACAAACACUGCGGCGUCCUUGACCCAGACAGGAAGAAAGUGUGCACCCGCCUCCUGACAUGCAAUAUUCACUCCAUCCACCAGAGGAGGAAGGUGGUGGGCCGCAGCAAGAACUUUGACCAGCUAGUGGCAGAACUCAAGACCAGGGUUCGAGAGAAAGGGAGCCCAGCCCUGGAGGGAGGCUCCUCGACGGGACAGUCCCUCAGCCCAGAGGCCCCCAGGGAGCAAGCUGGUACUCCACACUGCAGGAGACCUUUGGUCACCCUCCCUGCCUUCAGGUUGUGAAGAAUGCUGAAGCUAAGGAUGCUUAUAGAAGAAGUUAGGACUCUUCUAGAGAUAAAUAAUCAUCUUUUUACUGAUUAUAGCGGCUCAAACAUGGUUUGGCUUGCAGGAUUCAUGUGUAGUCAGCUGCUGGGAAACUGUUUUAUCAAGAAGCUAACAGCUGCUGCUGUAACAUAGACAUGCUGGACUGAUGGUCUGCUAAACUAACACCCAGGUGUUCGUUCUGUUACAUAAUCCCCAAACAGAGCAAGUUUAAAGGCUUCUCAGAUGAGUCCACCAGUUCGCGACUCAGUACAGCGUGUGCAUCAAGUGUAGGGAAGGAGCUGAUGUGGUGCUGCUGAGGGUGUAACUGGAUCUGGAUGGUCCUGUGUGUGUGUUCUAGUUGGCCUACGGCUGUGGUAGAGAGUGCCCCAGAGGAGGAGAGCCAGCGGUCGGAUGAGGGUAAUCCCAGAGUCCCCUCGCCUCUGGUCCACGGACGAAUCUCGAGCGAUGAAAGCGAGGCAGAAGGAAACGACGAGCGAGCUGAGUUUCCAUCUUCGGCUGCGCAUCCCAGACCAGCGGCGGUGAGACUUACUGGGGCUCAGCAGCCACAGAGCCCAGCCUCUGAUCACCAUAGGCUGAGACGUUACACAGGGACAGGAGGACGCCCAUGCUGUGUCCUCAUGUCCCCAAGGACGCAGGGGAGACGCACACACAGGAGACGCACACACAGGAGACGCACG
Molecule: long non-coding RNA, 1094 nt
Organism: Haplochromis burtoni (Burton's mouthbrooder)
Lineage: Eukaryota; Metazoa; Chordata; Actinopteri; Cichliformes; Cichlidae
Exons: 3
Source: RefSeq, a predicted model, not a curated record